UAAUACGUAGGGUGCAGGCGUUAAUCGGAAUUACUGGGCGUAAAGCGUGCGCAGGCGGCUCCUUAAGUCAGAUGUGAAAUCCCCGGGCUUAACCUGGGAACUGCGUUUGAAACUGAGGGGCUUGAGUGUGGAAGAGGGGGGUGGAAUUCCAGGUGUAGCAGUGAAAUGCGUAGAGAUCUGGAGGAACACCGAUGGCGAAGGCAGCCCCCUGGGCUAACACUGACGCUCAUGCACGAAAGCGUGGGGAGCAAACAGGAUUAGAUACCCUGGUAGUCCACGCCCUAAACGAUGUCAACUAGUUGUCGGGGAAGUUAUUCCUUGGUAACGAAGCUAACGCGUGAAGUUGACCGCCUGGGGAGUACGGCCGCAAGGUUA
Molecule: ribosomal RNA, 375 nt
Filed under: uncultured bacterium
Lineage: Bacteria
Description: bacterial SSU rRNA
Rfam family: Bacterial small subunit ribosomal RNA
Source: RNAcentral